This 432-nucleotide ribosomal RNA is filed under the name uncultured bacterium. Its description in RNAcentral is "partial 16S ribosomal RNA". It matches the Rfam family "Bacterial small subunit ribosomal RNA", at positions 29 to 506 of the family's 1533-position model. The record is from RNAcentral.
AACGAACGCUGGCGGCAUGCCUAACACAUGCAAGUCGAACGAGACCUUCGGGUCUAGUGGCGCACGGGUGCGUAACGCGUGGGAACCUGCCCUUAGGUUCGGAAGAACUCCCCGAAAGGGGUGCUAAUACCGGAUAAUGUCUUCGGACCAAAGAUUUAUCGCCUUUGGAUGGGCCCGCGUUGGAUUAGCUAGUUGGUAGGGUAAAAGCCUACCAAGGCGACGAUCCAUAGCUGGUCUGAGAGGAUGAUCAGCCACACUGGGACAGAGACACGGCCCAGACUCCGACGGGAGGCAGCAGUGGGGAAUAUUGGACAAUGGGCGAAAGACUGAUCCAGCAAUGCCGCGUGAGUGAUGAAGGCCGUAGGGUUGUAAAGCUCUUUUACCCGGGAUGAUAAUGACAGUACCGGGAGAAUAAGCUCCGGCUAACUCCGU